CCUUUUGCAACAAGGAAGCAGAAAAGACAAAAGCUAUUUGCCAGCCUGGUGCGGGAAUCAACAGAAUAGAGAGAUGGUUCUGCUGCAAUUUCCAUCAAGGGUGGCCAAGCCUCCAGUCUUCUUGUCCAGAAGUAAGUGGCAUCAACCAACUCUGCCAAACUGCAUUUCCUGCCUCCUGAUCUGGGGUCUUUUCCUUUUCUUUUUUCACACAGGGAGUAUUUCCAUCCUCUCUGUCCAGGCAGCUGAGCCUUGACAACCUCUCCUCCCCUUCACCAUGCCCCGACUGAUCUCCUAAUGGAGCCCCACCCCUCGAGUCCCUGGGCCUGUGGAAGGUUUUUUUUUUUUUUUUCUAGAUUCCAGAAGAUGCAGUAUUUUUCCUAAGGCAGGAGAAAACCCUAGUUCAUAGACAGCCAGGAUAAAAACCCUGGAAGACCAUGAGCCAAGGGUCCGUGAGACCAGAUGCUACAGCAAAUGUUCCAGAGAAAUGAACCUAGAAAAUGAUCCCGGGGUGCUCCUUGCGGGGGAACACAGGACUCCUCAGCUCUAUCUCUGUGGCUUUAACAUACAUCAGUUUCAGGGAUCUCCAGCCUCAACAGAGAUAAAUGCCAGCCAACCCAGCUCCCUGGCACCCCCACCUGGUCCUGCAAGAACAGCUGACUGGCCAUCUGCACGAUCUGGUCCACGUGGAUGAUGCCCCCGAUGCUGGUCAUCUCCGUGUCCGAGAGCAGCGUCAGCACCAUGAUGGCUUCCACCAGCAGCUGCCGGUACUCGGGCUGCGGCACGCGGUUCAGCACCGAUUCGACAUGGACAGCAAACUUGAUCUCAUGCGGGGUCAUCUACCAAAGGGACAGGCAGGCAACCACCAGUGAGAGGACAGAUGCAGCCCUAUCAAUCAAUCACCGAGUAACCAAGGGUGACCGUAGCAGUGCC
Molecule: long non-coding RNA, 930 nt
Filed under: Homo sapiens (human)
Lineage: Eukaryota; Metazoa; Chordata; Mammalia; Primates; Hominidae
Description: long non-coding RNA NONHSAT222540.1
Source: RNAcentral